GUCUUCUGGAAGUGUUCUGUGAUUCCUAGAACAUGGAAGGAGUGGGAGAGUAGUUUCCACUGAUGUCUGAAGAGAUAGCGGUGACAGGCACUGCCAGGUCAGGAUUUCACCUUGCACACAUUCACUUUAAGAUGUGGCCUCUGGAAACAAGUUUUUUCAAGAACUGAAGAAUUUCUAUAUUCAUGAUACUAAAUUGUCUCUUCACACCCAAACUUGAACAACAUGGAGAUUAAUGGGACUGCAGUAGAGAAAGGCCUGUUCUUUCAUUCAUCUCCUUCCAGACCUAAGUGGAACACAGUACUUCAAUCAAACUGACUGGAAUUUCUAUAUGACUUUAAGGCUUACAAAAUGCUGUUCUCUCCAUAACCCUGUGAAGCAGGCAUUUAUGCUCAUUUUUCAGGUGAGAUAAUUGAGACUCACAGAAGAGGUGUGAAUUGUCCAUGAUCAAACACAUAGUCAAUGUUAAUGUCAGAACAUAAAGCCAGGCAUCUUGACUCGAGGCCCAGGGUCUGGGUGCAUGAUAGCAGGUAGAGGGUCAUCCAUAUAAAAAGUCAGGAACAAAGUCAGGCAUGAAUGAAUGAAAUUCAAAUUUAAC
This is a long non-coding RNA of Vombatus ursinus (common wombat), 595 nucleotides long. RefSeq lists it as uncharacterized. The transcript is spliced from 3 exons. Lineage: Eukaryota; Metazoa; Chordata; Mammalia; Diprotodontia; Vombatidae. The record is from RefSeq and is a predicted model, not a curated record.